AACACAGUGGCUCAGUGUAUAAGGGUAUGCUGCUGUGAAUGCCAAGGUUGUGGGUUUGAAUCCCACCUGUAAUG
RNAcentral lists this transfer RNA (74 nucleotides) under Albula glossodonta (roundjaw bonefish). It matches the Rfam family "tRNA". From Rfam's summary of the family: Transfer RNA (tRNA) molecules are approximately 80 nucleotides in length. Their secondary structure includes four short double-helical elements and three loops (D, anti-codon, and T loops). The record is from Rfam by way of RNAcentral. Lineage: Eukaryota; Metazoa; Chordata; Actinopteri; Albuliformes; Albulidae.